RNAcentral lists this ribosomal RNA (303 nucleotides) under uncultured bacterium. RNAcentral describes it as "partial 16S ribosomal RNA". It matches the Rfam family "Bacterial small subunit ribosomal RNA", at positions 507 to 807 of the family's 1533-position model. The record is from RNAcentral.
AGCAGUCGCCGCGGUAAUACGGAGGAUCCGAGCGUUAUCCGGAAUUAUUGGGUUUAAAGGGUGCGUAGGCGGAUAGAUAAGUCAGUGGUGAAAGACGGUGGCUCAACCAUCGCAGUGCCGUUGAUACUGUUUAUCUUGAAUAUGGAUGAGGUAGGCGGAAUGUGGCAAGUAGCGGUGAAAUGCAUAGAUAUGCCACAGAACACCGAUUGCGAAGGCAGCUUACCAAGGCAAAAUUGACGCUGAGGCACGAAAGCGUGGGGAUCGAACAGGAUUAGAUACCCCUGUAGUCCCUGUCUCUUAUAC